GAUCCUGGCUCAGGACGAACGCUGGCGGCGUGCCUAACACAUGCAAGUCGAACGGAGUUAAGCUCUUCGGAACUUGACUUAGUGGCGAACGGGUGAGUAACGCGUGAGGAACCUGCCUUUCAGUGGGGGACAACAGUUGGAAACGACUGCUAAUACCGCAUGACACUUUUGGGAGACAUCUCCUGGAAGUCAAAGCUUUAUGUGCUGAAAGAUGGCCUCGCGUCUGAUUAGCUGGUUGGUGAGG
Molecule: ribosomal RNA, 244 nt
Filed under: uncultured bacterium
Lineage: Bacteria
Description: partial 16S ribosomal RNA
Rfam family: Bacterial small subunit ribosomal RNA
Source: RNAcentral